This 497-nucleotide ribosomal RNA is filed under the name uncultured bacterium. RNAcentral describes it as "partial 16S ribosomal RNA". It matches the Rfam family "Bacterial small subunit ribosomal RNA", at positions 28 to 507 of the family's 1533-position model. The record is from RNAcentral.
GAUGAACGCUGGCGGCGUGCCUAAUACAUGCAAGUCGAGCGAACAGAUGAGGAGCUUGCUCCUCUGACGUUAGCGGCGGACGGGUGAGUGACACGUGGAUAACCUACCUAUAAGACCGGGAUAACUUCGGGAAACCGGAGCUAAUACCGGAUAAUAUAUUGAACCGCAUGGUUCAAUAGUGAAAGACGGUUUUGCUGUCACUUAUAGAUGGAUCCGCGCCGCAUUAGCUAGUUGGUAAGGUAACGGCUUACCAAGGCAACGAUGCGUAGCCGACCUGAGAGGGUGAUCGGCCACACUGGAACUGAGACACGGUCCAGACUCCUACGGGAGGCAGCAGUAGGGAAUCUUCCGCAAUGGGCGAAAGCCUGACGGAGCAACGCCGCGUGAGUGAUGAAGGUCUUCGGAUCGUAAAACUCUGUUAUUAGGGAAGAACAAAUGUGUAAGUAACUAUGCACGUCUUGACGGUACCUAAUCAGAAAGCCACGGCUAACUACGUG